Bison bison bison is the source of this 110-nucleotide ribosomal RNA. Lineage: Eukaryota; Metazoa; Chordata; Mammalia; Artiodactyla; Bovidae. The record is from Ensembl.
GAAUGGCCAUACCACCCUGAACACGUGCCAUCUCAUCUGAUCUCAGAAGCUAUGCAGGGUCAGGCCUGGUUAAUACUUGGAUGGGAGAAUGCCUUGCCCUGCAACAUUGU